GACUGUAGCGCGCGAAUAAGCGCCGGCUAAUUACGUGCCAGCAGCCGCGGUAACACGUAAGGCGCGAGCGUUGUUCGGAAUCAUUGGGCGUAAAGGGCGUGUAGGCGGCCCUGCAAGCCUGGCGUGAAAUCCCGGGGCUCAACCCCCGGAACCGCGCUGGGAACUGCUGGGCUGGAGCCGCUGUGGCGCAGCCGGAAUUCCAGGUGUAGGGGUGAAAUCUGUAGAUAUCUGGAAGAACACCGAUGGCGAAGGCAGGCUGCGAGCGGACGGCUGACGCUGAGGCGCGAAGGCGCGGGGAGCGAACAGGAUUAGAUAUCCUGGUAGUCCGCGCAGUAAACGAUGGCACACUGGGUGUCCGGGCAUGAGCCCGGGUGCCGAAGCGAACGCGUUAAGUGUGCCGCCUGGGGAAGUAUGCCCGCAAGGGUGAAACUCAAAGGAAUUGACGGGGGCCCGCACAAGCAGUGGAUUAUGUGGUUUAAUUCGACGCAACGCGAAGAACCUUACCGGGAUUUGACAUCCUACUAACGAAGUAGAGAUACAUCAGGUGCCCUUCGGGGAAAGUAGAGACAGGUGGUGCAUGGUUGUCGUCAGCUCGUGUCGUGAGAUGUUGGGUUAAGUCCCGCAACGAGCGCAACCCCUAUUGUUAGUUGCUACGCAAGAGCACUCUAGCGAGACUGCCGUUGACAAAACGGAGGAAGGUGGGGACGACGUCAAAUCAUCAUGCCCCUUAUGUCCUGGGCUACACACGUAAUACAAUGGCGGUCAACAGAGGGAUGCAAAACCGUGAGGUGGAGCGAACCCCUAAAAGCCGUCCCAGUUCAGAUUGUGGGCUGCAACCCGCCCACAUGAAGUCGGAAUCGCUAGUAAUCGCGGAUCAGCAUGCCGCGGUGAAUACGUAAACGGGCCUUGCACA
Molecule: ribosomal RNA, 913 nt
Filed under: uncultured bacterium
Lineage: Bacteria
Description: bacterial SSU rRNA
Rfam family: Bacterial small subunit ribosomal RNA
Source: RNAcentral